RNAcentral lists this ribosomal RNA (253 nucleotides) under uncultured bacterium. RNAcentral describes it as "partial 16S ribosomal RNA". It matches the Rfam family "Bacterial small subunit ribosomal RNA", at positions 524 to 776 of the family's 1533-position model. The record is from RNAcentral.
UACGUAGGUGACCAGCGUUGUCCGGAUUUACUGGGCGUAAAGAGCGCGCAGGCGGUCGUUCAAGUCGAGUGUGAAAGCCCCCGGCUCAACUGGGGAGGGUCACUCGAUACUGAUCGACUUGAAGGCAGGAGAGGGAAGCGGAAUUCCCGGUGUAGUGGUGAAAUUCGUAGAUAUUAGGAGGAACACCAGUGGCGAAGGCGGCUCACUGGUCCGGUACUGACGCUGAGGUGCGAAAGCGUGGGGAGCAAACAGG